ACAUCUCUUUUUGAAAAUUAAUAUAAAGUUUAACCUGCCCUAUGAAAUUUUAAAUGGCCGCAGUAUUUUGACUGUGCAAAGGUAGCAUAAUAAUUAGUCUUUUAAUUGAAGGCUAGAAUGAAUGGUUGGACGAAAUAUUGACUGUUUCAUAUAAAUUUAUUAUAGAAAUUUAUUUUUUAGUAAAAAAGCUAAAAUAAGUUUAAAAGACGAGAAGACCCUAUAAAUCUUUAUAUUUAUUAAAUAUUUAUUUAUUAGAAAUUAAUUAAUUUAUAUUUAUAUAUUAUUUUAUUGGGGUGAUAUUAAAAUUUAAUAAACUUUUAAAUAAUAAUAACAAUAAUUAUUGAAUAUUUGAUCCUGUAUUAUGGAUUAAAAGAAUAAGUUACUUUAGGGAUAACAGCGUAAUUUUUUUGGAGAGUUCAUAUUGAUAAAAAAGAUUGCGACCUCGAUGUUGGAUUAAGAAAAAUUUUAGGUGCAGAAGUUUAAAAAUUAAGUCUGUUCGACUUUUAAAUUC
This 511-nucleotide ribosomal RNA is filed under the name Icosta sp. 4 ES-2018. RNAcentral describes it as "partial 16S ribosomal RNA". The stretch from base 390 to 511 matches the Rfam family "Bacterial large subunit ribosomal RNA", at positions 2473 to 2595 of the family's 2925-position model. Lineage: Eukaryota; Metazoa; Arthropoda; Insecta; Diptera; Hippoboscidae. The record is from RNAcentral.